RNAcentral lists this ribosomal RNA (253 nucleotides) under uncultured bacterium. RNAcentral describes it as "partial 16S ribosomal RNA". It matches the Rfam family "Bacterial small subunit ribosomal RNA", at positions 524 to 776 of the family's 1533-position model. The record is from RNAcentral.
AACGUAGGAGACAAACGUUAUCCGGAGUUACUGGGCGUAAAGGGCGUGUAGGUGGUUACGUAAGUCUGGCGUGAAAUUUCUCGGCUUAACCGAGGCAGGUCGUCGGAUACUGCGGGACUAGAGGACGGUAGAGGCGUGUGGAAUUCCGGGUGUAGUGGUGAAAUGCGUAGAGAUCCGGAGGAACACCAGUGGCGAAGGCGACACGCUGGGCCGUACCUGACACUGAUGCGCGACAGCAUGGGGAGCAAACAGG